UACGUAGGGUGCAAGCGUUAAUCGGAAUUACUGGGCGUAAAGCGUGCGCAGGCGGUGAUGUAAGACAGAUGUGAAAUCCCCGGGCUCAACCUGGGAACUGCAUUUGUGACUGCAUCGCUGGAGUGCGGGAGAGGGGGAUGGAAUUCCGCGUGUAGCAGUGAAAUGUGUAGAUAUGCGGAGGAACACCGAUGGCGAAGGCAAUCCCCUGGGCCUGCACUGACGCUCAUGCACGAAAGCGUGGGGAGCAAACAGG
Molecule: ribosomal RNA, 253 nt
Filed under: uncultured bacterium
Lineage: Bacteria
Description: partial 16S ribosomal RNA
Rfam family: Bacterial small subunit ribosomal RNA
Source: RNAcentral